Long non-coding RNA from Gadus morhua (Atlantic cod), 439 nucleotides. NCBI's taxonomy places the organism in Eukaryota, Metazoa, Chordata, Actinopteri, Gadiformes, Gadidae. The record is from Ensembl.
UGCCAUCACCCAUCUUGUGAGCUGUUGAGGGAAAACAACCACAGGCUGCAGAGGGAAAAUGAUUUUCUCAAGGCAAAAAUAGCAACAUUGAAAUUGCUGCCAGACGUUUUGCAGAAGAUGGAGGAGUUUCUUCGCUCAGCACCAAGACCUAUGACAACACCAAUACCAACACCAAGACCAAGACCAAGACCAGAACCAACACUAUCACCAGCACCAACAGCAGUUCCACCACCAGCAACAGAAGACCCAUCACCAGCUCCAGGUCCAUCAUCAGCAACAGAGGCCCUGGGCCACUCUGUCAUUCCAAAAGGACUUGUGGAGCGCUGCUCCUUCCAAAGCCCCCAAAAGUUCAUAAAUGAUCUCCUACAUGGGAUGUAUACCAGGGAAUAUAUGGCAGGCCAUUCAGUGACUGGCCAGUCAUCCAGCAGCUGCACAGAAG